This 429-nucleotide ribosomal RNA is filed under the name Pseudomonadota bacterium. Its description in RNAcentral is "Proteobacteria bacterium partial 16S ribosomal RNA". It matches the Rfam family "Bacterial small subunit ribosomal RNA", at positions 355 to 776 of the family's 1533-position model. Lineage: Bacteria; Pseudomonadati; Pseudomonadota. The record is from RNAcentral.
UGGGGAAUAUUGGACAAUGGGCGAAAGCCUGAUCCAGCCAUGCCGCGUGUGUGAAGAAGGUCUUCGGAUUGUAAAGCACUUUAAGUUGGGAGGAAGGGCAGUAAGCGAAUACCUUGCUGUUUUGACGUUACCGACAGAAUAAGCACCGGCUAACUCUGUGCCAGCAGCCGCGGUAAUACAGAGGGUGCAAGCGUUAAUCGGAAUUACUGGGCGUAAAGCGCGCGUAGGUGGUUCGUUAAGUUGAAUGUGAAAGCCCCGGGCUCAACCUGGGAACUGCAUCCAAAACUGGCGAGCUAGAGUAGGGCAGAGGGUGGUGGAAUUUCCGGUGUAGCGGUGAAAUGCGUAGAUAUAGGAAGGAACACCAGUGGCGAAGGCGACCACCUGGGCUCAUACUGACACUGAGGUGCGAAAGCGUGGGGCGCAAACAGG